This 492-nucleotide ribosomal RNA is filed under the name uncultured bacterium. RNAcentral's name for it is "partial 16S ribosomal RNA". It matches the Rfam family "Bacterial small subunit ribosomal RNA", at positions 29 to 507 of the family's 1533-position model. The record is from RNAcentral.
AGUGAACGCUGGCGGUAGGCCUAACACAUGCAAGUCGAACGGCAGCACAGUAAGAGCUUGCUCUUACGGGUGGCGAGUGGCGGACGGGUGAGGAAUACAUCGGAAUCUACUUUUUCGUGGGGGAUAACGUAGGGAAACUUACGCUAAUACCGCAUACGACCUACGGGUGAAAGCAGGGGAUCUUCGGACCUUGCGCGAUUGAAUGAGCCGAUGUCGGAUUAGCUAGUUGGCGGGGUAAAGGCCCACCAAGGCGACGAUCCGUAGCUGGUCUGAGAGGAUGAACCGCCACCACGGGAACUGGGACACGGCCCAGACUCCUCGGGAGGGAAGCGUGGGGAAAUAUGGGCCAAUGGGGGCAAGCUUGACCCGCCCAUCCCGGGUGGUUGAAGAGGGCCUCGGGGUGGAAAAGCCCUUUGGUGGGGAAGAAAAACAAGAAGUUAAAUACCCGGUUGUCUUGAGGGACCCAAAAGAAUAAGCACCGCCAAACUUGUG